UAGGCGUGCUGGAACCUCUCGGGGUUACAGCCUUGCUGAAUUAUUCACCCUUGUCUUUUGCGUACUUCUUGUUUCCUUGGUGGGUUCGGCCACCACUAGGACAAACAUAAACCUUUUGUAAUUGCAAUCAGCGUCAGUAACAAAUUAAUAAUUACAACUUUCAACAACGGAUCUCUUGGUUCUGGCAUCGAUGAAGAACGCCGCGAAAUGCGAUAAGUAGUGUGAAUUGCAGAAUUCAGUGAAUCAUCGAAUCUUUGAACGCACAUUGCGCCCUUUGGUAUUCCAAAGGGCAUGCCUGUUCGAGCGUCAUUUGUACCCUCAAGCUUUGCUUGGUGUUGGGCGUCUUGUCUGUAGCUUUGCUGGAGACUCGCCUUAAAGUAAUUGGCAGCCGGGCUACUGGUUUCGGAGCGCAGCACAAGUCGCACUCUCUAUCAGCAAAGGUCUAGCAUCCAUUAAGCCUUAUUUUCAACUUUUGACCUCGGA
This 483-nucleotide small RNA is filed under the name Alternaria alternata. Its description in RNAcentral is "eukaryotic LSU rRNA". The stretch from base 156 to 309 matches the Rfam family "5.8S ribosomal RNA". The record is from RNAcentral. Lineage: Eukaryota; Fungi; Ascomycota; Dothideomycetes; Pleosporales; Pleosporaceae.